RNAcentral lists this ribosomal RNA (460 nucleotides) under uncultured Gammaproteobacteria bacterium. Its description in RNAcentral is "bacterial SSU rRNA". It matches the Rfam family "Bacterial small subunit ribosomal RNA", at positions 49 to 507 of the family's 1533-position model. Lineage: Bacteria; Pseudomonadati; Pseudomonadota; Gammaproteobacteria. The record is from RNAcentral.
UAACACAUGCAAGUCGAGCGAGAAAGCACUUCGGUGUGAGUAGAGCGGCGGACGGGUGAGUAACGCGUAGGAAUUUGCCCAGUAGUGGGGGACAACAUGUGGAAACGCAUGCUAAUACCGCAUACNCCCUAUGGGGGAAAGCAGGGGAUCUUCGGACCUUGCGCUAUUGGAUGAGCCUGCGUCGGAUUAGCUAGUUGGUGGGGUAAAGGCCUACCAAGGCGACGAUCCGUAGCUGGUCUGAGAGGAUGAUCAGCCACACUGGAACUGAGACACGGUCCAGACUCCUACGGGAGGCAGCAGUGGGGAAUAUUGGACAAUGGGCGAAAGCCUGAUCCAGCCAUGCCGCGUGUGUGAAGAAGGCCUUAGGGUUGUAAAGCACUUUCAGUAGGGAGGAAAAGUUAGUCGUUAAUAGCGGCUAGCCCUGACGUUACCUACAGAAGAAGCACCGGCAAACUCCGUU